AAACUUAAAGGAAUUGACGGGACCCGCACAGCGGUGAUGAUGUGGUUUAAUUCGAUGCAACGCGAAAACCUUACCUACCCUUGACAUGUACGGAACUUGCCAGAGAUGGCUUGGUGCUCGAAAGAGAGCCGUAACACAGGUGCUGCAUGGCUGUCGUCAGCUCGUGUCGUGAGAUGUUGGGUUAAGUCCCGCAACGAGCGCAACCCUUGUCAUUAGUUGCUACGAAAGGGCACUCUAAUGAGACUGCCGGUGACAAACCGGAGGAAGGUGGGGAUGACGUCAAGUCCUCAUGGCCCUUAUGGGUAGGGCUACACACGUCAUACAAUGGCCGGUACAAAGGGCAGCCAACCCGCGAGGGGGAGCCAAUCCCGUAAAGCCGGUCGUAGUCCGGAUCGCAGUCUGCAACUCGACUGCGUGAAGUCGGAAUCGCUAGUAAUCGUGGAUCAGCAUGUCACGGUGAAUACGUUCCCGGGCCUU
Molecule: ribosomal RNA, 477 nt
Filed under: uncultured Achromobacter sp.
Lineage: Bacteria; Pseudomonadati; Pseudomonadota; Betaproteobacteria; Burkholderiales; Alcaligenaceae
Description: bacterial SSU rRNA
Rfam family: Bacterial small subunit ribosomal RNA
Source: RNAcentral